UUUUUUUAAAUUCUUCUUGUGCACCAAAUAUUCAAUUUAUCCCUAGUAAAAACCCUUAACACCAAAUCAUCUUCUUUUGCACCUCAAUUGGCCAUAUCCUCCACCCACCGUAGAAAUGCAGAAAUGAUGAAGAAGGGUUGGGUGGCUGAGAAAAAAAUACAUCACAGUAAUUUGAGAACAAGAACUAAAAGCAGGCUAUUCGGUGAGGGUUUUUCAUAUCCUCCCAAUUUGGUCAUUCUUGAAGAAAUUCCUCAAGAAAAACCUGGAAUUUUUUCUCCUAAUAUAACUAUUGAACAGUCUUUUAC
RNAcentral lists this long non-coding RNA (305 nucleotides) under Olea europaea (common olive). RNAcentral describes it as "long non-coding RNA (OEUR_LNC010423)". The record is from RNAcentral. Lineage: Eukaryota; Viridiplantae; Streptophyta; Magnoliopsida; Lamiales; Oleaceae.